UACGUAGGGUGCGAGCGUUAAUCGGAAUUACUGGGCGUAAAGCGUGCGCAGGCGGUUGUGCAAGACAGAUGUGGAAUCCCCGGGCUUAACCUGGGAACUGCGUUUGAAACUACAAGGCUAGAGUGUGGCAGAGGGGGGUGGAAUUCCACGUGUAGCAGUGAAAUGCGUGGAGAUGUGGAGGAACACCGAUGGCGAAGGCAGCCCCCUGGGUUAACACUGACGCUCAGGCACGAAAGCGUGGGGAGCAAACAGG
RNAcentral lists this ribosomal RNA (253 nucleotides) under uncultured bacterium. Its description in RNAcentral is "partial 16S ribosomal RNA". It matches the Rfam family "Bacterial small subunit ribosomal RNA", at positions 524 to 776 of the family's 1533-position model. The record is from RNAcentral.